Molecule: long non-coding RNA, 393 nt
Filed under: Capra hircus (goat)
Lineage: Eukaryota; Metazoa; Chordata; Mammalia; Artiodactyla; Bovidae
Description: lncRNA (ENSCHIG00000002233.1)
Source: RNAcentral
GGGGAGGGCUGAUGCUGGAAACAGUUAAUACCAGGAAGAGGGUAGUCAGGUGUGUUGGCGGUGCUAAGGCUGGCUGAGGAGCUGGUGUUACUAUUUUUAAGUGCUUCCUGCUCUCUGAUCAAGAUGCACACCCUUUGGGGGAACACACUUGGCUGAAUGGAAAGAGCAGAUAAAUGUUUCAGUUCAAUCCCAGCUGUAAUUCGACCUGCCAUGAUAUCAGGUUUCUUCAGUCAAAAAGAUAUGGCUCUGUCCUUGAUAGCAAGGAGGAGAGGACUUAAGGAUGUCGCCACAGGAUAUCUUGACAUCAGUUGCAUCAGUGCUUCAGAUUCUGGCCGAGGAUGCCAGAUUCUCACUACUGCCAGUGAAAGAGACUGUCAGGACCCAGAGAGCUGA